Pristis pectinata (smalltooth sawfish) is the source of this 304-nucleotide long non-coding RNA. RefSeq lists it as uncharacterized. The transcript has 3 exons. NCBI's taxonomy places the organism in Eukaryota, Metazoa, Chordata, Chondrichthyes, Rhinopristiformes, Pristidae. The record is from RefSeq and is a predicted model, not a curated record.
CAGAGUUGUAUUCUCCAGAUCCCAACAAGAGAGUGAUGGAACACCAGGCAAGGUUCUAAAUGGUUAUUUCAGUCAUUUUCUGGUUGGAACUACCAACUUAGAAGCAGCCUGGGAGCCAUUGGAGCAGCAGUUGCCUUUCAGGUCCGAGACCUUGGAAGUGCCUUUGGGGUCAGGGACCAGACGAUCAGGCAUCAAUAAAAGACUGCUCUUUACUUUGUCGCUCUCUUCAGGAAAUAGAAGUGGCGAGGAUGCAGAAUGAUCCUGAAUCAAAUGGGCCUGUAUGGAGCGGAGAGUAAGUAGUGAG